RNAcentral lists this ribosomal RNA (828 nucleotides) under Psychrobacter alimentarius. Its description in RNAcentral is "bacterial SSU rRNA". It matches the Rfam family "Bacterial small subunit ribosomal RNA", at positions 64 to 885 of the family's 1533-position model. The record is from RNAcentral. Lineage: Bacteria; Pseudomonadati; Pseudomonadota; Gammaproteobacteria; Moraxellales; Moraxellaceae.
GAGCGGUAACAUUUCUAGCUUGCUAGAAGAUGACGAGCGGCGGACGGGUGAGUAAUACUUAGGAAUCUACCUAGUAGUGGGGGAUAGCUCGGGGAAACUCGAAUUAAUACCGCAUACGACCUACGGGAGAAAGGGGGCAACUUGUUGCUCUCGCUAUUAGAUGAGCCUAAGUCGGAUUAGCUAGAUGGUGGGGUAAAGGCCUACCAUGGCGACGAUCUGUAGCUGGUCUGAGAGGAUGAUCAGCCACACCGGGACUGAGACACGGCCCGGACUCCUACGGGAGGCAGCAGUGGGGAAUAUUGGACAAUGGGGGAAACCCUGAUCCAGCCAUGCCGCGUGUGUGAAGAAGGCCUUUUGGUUGUAAAGCACUUUAAGCAGUGAAGAAGACUCUUCGGUUAAUACCCGGAGACGAUGACAUUAGCUGCAGAAUAAGCACCGGCUAACUCUGUGCCAGCAGCCGCGGUAAUACAGAGGGUGCAAGCGUUAAUCGGAAUUACUGGGCGUAAAGCGAGCGUAGGUGGCUUGAUAAGUCAGAUGUGAAAUCCCCGGGCUUAACCUGGGAACUGCAUCUGAUACUGUCAGGCUAGAGUAGGUGAGAGGAAGGUAGAAUUCCAGGUGUAGCGGUGAAAUGCGUAGAGAUCUGGAGGAAUACCGAUGGCGAAGGCAGCCUUCUGGCAUCAUACUGACACUGAGGCUCGAAAGCGUGGGUAGCAAACAGGAUUAGAUACCCUGGUAGUCCACGCCGUAAACGAUGUCUACUAGUCGUUGGGUCCCUUGAGGACUUAGUGACGCAGCUAACGCAAUAAGUAGACCGCCUGGGGAGUACGG